CAGCGCAGGCGCGGAGCCUCCGCUCACAGCCCCGCCGCCAUCUUGGACGGAGCGCCGAGCGCCGCGCCGCUGCGCACGGCCCCAGGCGGAGGGGCCGGGGCCGCCAUUUUGAGCCAGGAGCUCUGGUCUCAGUGACUGGGUUCAAGGCCUCUGCGUGCAGCAGCCUGUGAGCCAGUGACACCAGAGGAAGCAUAAAGGGAUGACAAAAAAGAUGAGCUUAUCGACAAAGGUGUGGAUCCAUGGAACACAUGAGGAGAUCAAACUCAAAGCCAUGUUGAACUGCAGCUAUGACUCUCCGUGGUUACCCACUUGGCUAUCUGGUUCCCAGACCAGGGAUGGAACAUGCACCCCCUGCAGUGGAAGCAUGGAUCUUAACCACUAGACCACCAGGGAAAUCCUGACUCCCAUACUUGGAUGCAGCCAGCAUGGAACAGAAGUAGCCUAUCUCUGAACCAGUGAUGCUCUGCUCAUCCGGAAACCUGCGAUGGAGCCAUAAAGGUGUCGGUGCUGCUCAGAACACAGGGACACGUGGGGAAGACGCUGUUCCCAGAGGGAAAGUGAGUGCUGCUGCCAGGACACGGAAGAACUCAGGCCGUGAACCCGAAACCUGGUAAACGUGCAGCCUAGAUCCUGUCAGGGUAGAUGUUUCAGAUGCAGUUUAUUAAAAUGAAAGCUAAAAAAAAAAAAAGACAAGACUGGAAAACAGGAAGUGAUUGGUGCACAGCAGCACACAACAGCUGGCACCAGUAUCUACUUUAUUAGGCCCGUCCAGAGCGUUCAAUAAGAAAACACUGGGCUAACGCUGGUGUCAGUUAAGAAUUACUUUGGUUCGGGGGUGAUGAAGAUGUUUUGAAACUAGACAGAGGUGGUCGUUGCACAACAUUGUGAAUGUGCUAAAUUUCCCUGAAUUGAAUUCACUUUAAAGUGGUUAUAUGGAUUUCACCUCAGUAUUUUAAAAGAAUACUUUGGGCUGCAAAUAAGAGAAAGCCCUAAGCUACUGACCUUAAAAAGUAGAGAUUUCUUCAUCUCAUACAACAGGAAGUCCAGAGGUUUAUAGACCAGAGCUGGUCAACCAAGCCCUCAGGCCUUCCUUCUUUCUGCUUCAUCACUCUUGGCAUAAGGCAGUGAUCCCCAUGGUCACAAGGCGACUGCUUCUGCUCCAGGCCUCACAUCUGUAUUCCAGGUGAGAAGAAUAAAAAUGGCAGAGGGACAAAAGGGGGAAGGUCGGAAAGAAAACUGAAGUUUAACAGAAAGGCCGGUUUAGUCUUCCCCACGAGAACUGUGCUAGUGUCCGCCCCUGGUGGCGCGGGAGGUGGGAGAACAGCGCGUUUGUUUAUGUGGACACCCUGAGCGCCGAGGCAGAGUCGGAGUCUGCUGACAAGGAAGAAACAAGAACAGAGGUUAGAGAGACAACGAAGAUUGCCUUCCAGUGCCCACAACGAAGUAGGGCUUCCACAGAUGUCAGUGGACACAAAAGGAGCAGGGUGUGGUGCUGAAAUUCUGAAGACAAAAGACACAGUCCUCUGUGCCAUCACCUCUGAAAGCUACUGAUUUCUAAGUGUGAGAUUAAUUAGGCUUAUUUUUGGUAUUAAAUACAAGUUGAUUGAAUAGGAGAGCAAUGAAAAGGUAAGCAAAAGAGACCAAUAAUCCUCUUAGACCAAUCAUUUGCCUUUUUUCUUGUCUUUUCUUUUUUUCGUUUUCAUUUGAAUGAACUGCAUGCAUCUGAAACAGCUACCCUAACAGAAUCUGGGAUGCAAGUUUACCAGAUUCCAGGUUCACUGCCUUCACAUCCCCCGCAAAGAAUCUCUCUGUAAAAGCUUGAUUUUUGAAUCCCGGUACCUCUGUGUGUCUUGUGUUCACGCAGGACGUUAAUGUACUGAGGAUGACUUCUCUUUCGAGGUACAAUGAAAACAUGAGAAAUGGUUUUAAUAAAGAGGGUUUGAGAGAGGUCUCGGGGGGAGCAGAGGAGGGACUUGGUUUACAUCUGCACACUGAAAGGGCAGCAGAGGGCUUCUCCCGGGGUCCAGUGGUGGGCAGUCCGCCUGCCAACGCAGGUGACACGGGCUCGGCCCCUGGUCCAGGGAUACCCCACGUGCCUCAGGGCAGCUCAACCCGUGCGCCACAGCUUCUGAAGCCCACGCACCUGGAGCCCAUGCUCUGCAACAAGAGAAGCCCCUGCAACGAGAAGCCCGCACACGGCAAGGAGGAGCAGCUCCCUCCCCGCCCCCGCCCCCCACCGCAACCAGAGAAAGCCUGCAGCAGCGAAGACCCAGUGCCGCGGAAGAAAAAGACAGCAGAGAACACACGCAGAACCCAUCACUGCUCUCAUCGUGGAAUCUGUGUCGCUGGAUUGUCAAUGUUUAGCUAACUAUAAAAGACACUUGCUGUUGUAUGACUAAAUGUCAUUUACAUACCGUAAGCAUUACACUCCGUUUGAACAGAAACUUCAUUCUCUAAUGAAAUAUGUUUCAGUUUUUUUCCUCGUGAAAAAUAA
Bubalus bubalis (water buffalo) is the source of this 2494-nucleotide long non-coding RNA. RefSeq lists it as uncharacterized. The transcript is spliced from 4 exons. Lineage: Eukaryota; Metazoa; Chordata; Mammalia; Artiodactyla; Bovidae. The record is from RefSeq and is a predicted model, not a curated record.